Molecule: ribosomal RNA, 492 nt
Filed under: uncultured bacterium
Lineage: Bacteria
Description: partial 16S ribosomal RNA
Rfam family: Bacterial small subunit ribosomal RNA
Source: RNAcentral
AGUGAACGCUGGCGGUAGGCCUAACACAUGCAAGUCGAACGGCAGCACAGUAAGAGCUUGCUCUUACGGGUGGCGAGUGGCGGACGGGUGAGGAAUACAUCGGAAUCUACUUUUUCGUGGGGGAUAACGUAGGGAAACUUACGCUAAUACCGCAUACGACCUACGGGUGAAAGCAGGGGAUCUUCGGACCUUGCGCGAUUGAAUGAGCCGAUGUCGGAUUAGCUAGUUGGCGGGGUAAAGGCCCACCAAGGCGACGAUCCGUAGCUGGUCUGAGAGGAUGAUCAGCCACACUGGAACUGAGACACGGUCCAGACUCCUACGGGAGGCAGCAGUGGGGAAUAUUGGACAAUGGGCGAAAGCCUGAUCCAGCCACACCGCGUGGGUGAAGAAGGCCUUCGGGUUGUAAAGCCCUUUUGUUGGGAAAGAAAAGCAGCAGGUUAAUCCCCCGAUGUUCUGACGGUACCCAAAGAAUAAGCACCGGCUAACUUCGUG